Microcebus murinus (gray mouse lemur) is the source of this 7734-nucleotide non-coding RNA. The record is from RefSeq and is a predicted model, not a curated record. NCBI's taxonomy places the organism in Eukaryota, Metazoa, Chordata, Mammalia, Primates, Cheirogaleidae.
UGGGGCGGGGCCGGGCUGCGGGGCCAGGCCGAGCCUCUGGGGCCACUUAGGGGGAGGCGGGGCCCGCCGUGGUGGGCGGGGCUUCCCUCAGGUGUGACUGAUUGCCCAGGCAGGUUUCCCCUGGUCACCCUCUUCCUUGUCCCCUCUCCCUGCAGCCACCGCUUUGCUUAUGGGGCGGUGUCUCUUCAGCUCUCCUUGACACUUGUCCCAGUAUCCGAGAAAGAGGAGAAAGAGGAGAGGAGGGCAGGCAGAGGGCAGGAGGAAAGGGGCAAACCUCCUUGCUUUCAUUCUCCUCUGAAACUCGCCCUUUCCCCUCUAGAUUCCAAAGGGUGGCAGAGGUGUGAAAGCAGACGUGGGAGAAAUGACUUGAAACGGGGCACAAUGGUAGGAAGCAGCAGGUGCAGAGAUGGAGGUAACGGGAAAGUGGAGCCCACAGCGAGAAUGUCUCGGAAUUGGUGUAAUUCAGAGAAAUUAAUGACGACUUUCCGCGGGACGGCUCCCUGGGGGAUGAUUAACACUUCAUCGUCCAUCUGAUGCGCGGGGCCCAGCGCUCCAUCGCGAACAUUUGGGCCGUGGCCAGCCGCAUUAAAGAGACAGUGUCUCACUAUGUUGCCCGUGCUGGAGCGCAGUGGCUAUUCUCGGGUGUGAUCUUAGUGCACUGCAGCCUCAAACUCCUGGGCUCAAGCAAUCCUUCUGCCUCAGCCGCCCAAGUAGCUGGGACAACAGACUCUGAAACCAUCUGCAGCUCAUCUUCCCAGGGAGGGCACUGAUGUGGACUAUGCAGAAUAUCCGCUCCGGUGUGGUACACGGUAACAAGAGAGGACUGUGAGGGUCUUCUUCCUAAGUACUCAAGUAGCUGGAUAUGUGUUUUUGCAGCUGCUGAAGGUGGUCUUCCUGCCAUAUGUAAUUCUUAAAAGCAGUGGUGGGGGUUAUAGGCUAGGUAAGGCUGUAGGAGGGAAGAUUACCAAGUUCCAUCGCAGUGUGGUUGUCUAGUGGUCUUUAAAACACAGCAUGAAGCCUUGCCUCAGGUCCCAAGCACAUUGCAAAUGAGCCAGUGGUAAAUAAACCUUGAAACCUGAUGGCUCUGUUCUCUCUGUUGGAAUCUAUCAAUUUUGUGUGCAUGAUAGGCAUAUUUAUUGAUUGAUAAAGGCUUGAAGGAGAAGCUGGAAAUAGGACUGGCUUCCUUGGUCUCCAAGAGGCAGUUUGCUGCUACCACAAAACAUGUUUAAAGCUCUUUAAUUUCUUAGGCCCUUGGAGUCUUAAAUUGCUCUCCACUCUAAACACAUGUAUGUUUUGGGCAGUGCGCCAACACCGGAAGCCCGGACAACACCUAUCCAUGCAUGACAACUGUGUUAUUGACUAUGUACGGCAAAUGUUUGAUUCUAUGUUCUUUCUCUUGCCUUUCAGAAGCUCUUGGGGAAACUUCUCUCUGUUAUCAGUUAACAUGUGAUAUGUGCCUGUAAAAGGCAGACCCAUUUCAACCUUGGUUUAAGUAAAAUCAUGUGGAAAGCCCAAUUUCCUUUAAGAAGUUAUUCCAAGCUAAUAAAAAUGAUUUUUCAAUUAUAUUCUUUUGGUUUAUCUUUGUCACUCUUUUUCUUUUAUUAUUACAAAAAUCAUUAGGUAGACUAGGAAAUAGAAAGAACCAGAUAAUGAGGAUAAGGAAUUGCCCUAAAAAGCAUGGUGCCAGGGGCUCCUUGUUGCAGAUUAUGAUGCAUGAGCUAGGGGUCAGGCAGGUGGGUCUUGGUUGGAGAAAUCAUAUUGAUCUAUAUUUGUAUAAGAAUGUAGUAGGACUUUACUUGACUCAAAUGAUCUGGUGGUUUUCCUAUAUGAAAAAAUAAAUUAACUUUCUAAGGGAGACGUGGGGGCAUGGAGUAGCUACCUAGGGCUAUGAGAGGAAUCAAGCAAUGUCUAGUGAGGGAGGAUAGAGAGGAAGACAGCUCACCCCUUACAUGGGAGGACAGAAGGAUACAUUUAACGAGAUGAAGGAAGAUAGCCAGAGAGAUAGUUGGCAUUUCCCAAGCCACCUUGUGUGCAGUGCAUCAUUGUGGGUGUUGGGAGGAGGUACCUGGGAGAAGGGGCCAUGGCUCUGACCAUUCACAACUGCCAGUCUAAAAGUAGAGGCAGAUUAUAGUGAUAGAUGGGACCAAUGGAUGGAUUUCUACAUUCUAUGUUUACAAGAAAAUGAAGGAUUUGGGAAAAGAAACAGAAUCAAGGCUGUUUGGCAAGGCUUCUUGGGAAAAAUGAGUGUGGGUCAGGGCUCAUUGUAGGCAAAGGCCAUCUUAUGUUACAGUCGUGGAUUCGAAAGACAGGCAGAUGGAUUUUCUUCCACUAUUUUCUCCUGAGCACUUUUCUGAGGUGUUCUGGAUUGAAUAGAUGUUGGGUUGAGAAAAGGGAGUAGAGAAUCAUAGGGGGAAGAAAAGAGAGAAGAAACUGAUUUUUACUGUUGACAUCAAUGUAUUACAUCACUUUUUAUUUUUAUUUUUUUUAAGCCAGUCAAAUUUAGUAGUGGGGGGUUGCACAUAACUUUUUAAAUCUCUUUAUCUUUUAUACCCUUUCUGGCUUUUCCCCAGGUCUCUUUCUGAUACUCAUUUGGAAAAUCUAAUCCUUAUUCAUCCUGAUAGCCCGUCUAGUUUCUGAAGAGUUCUAGAAGCUGUUCUGAUUUGUCAAGUCAAUAAUCUUUUCUUGGUGUGAUGGAAACGUUAAGAACUUCCAACAUUGGAUCCUGACUGAAACUAAACCUGUGAAUGUGUCAAAUCAUGAAUGAAGAGGAUUUGCCUCUGUCUUCUCUGAAGUUAUCCCAGAGAGACUUGGAGAAGCCACCUUGUUCACAACCAUUCCAGAAUAAAACUAGAUGCCAUGAAGUAUGUAAAGCCUCUAGAGAAGCUCUGGCUGUCUGUCUGUUUACCCAAAUAAUGGCACAAUGAUACUAGUGUACUGUGUGUGUAGCAGGGGCUCCAUAAAUAUGGACGGAAGGACGCAAAAAUGUUUUGGUUUAUAUUUUAGAUGGAUUUUGGUCUACAUCUGGGUAGAUUUUGUCUACAUCAUUUUGGUGUACCUUUGGCUGCAGUGUUUUGGUCUACAUGGGGAUGGGUUUCCACCAGCUUGGAAUUCAGCCCCUGCCAGCCUGGAUUGGGAUUUGAGAGGUGUAGUGCUGGGGGUGGUUGGGUGGGUGGGUGAGCUGGAGGGGGUGGCCAUGUUUCCUCUUGAGCUAAUGAGCAGACAGUUUGGAGGCUGCCGUAGCUUUCAAGUUCAAGACUUGGUUGCAGCUAGUAACAUUUACUGCAGAAUUACAAUUUGUAGCCUCAGAGUGAGAACAUAAAACAGUUUCUACCCUAAGGAGUUUUUAUUUUAGAUAGGGAGACAAAGUAUUCUCCUAAGUAACAUUCAAACAGAAGGCAGCACACAGUACGUUCAUAGGUGAGGGGAACGUGGCUGGUGAGCAGUCACUUUGGUGGGGUCAUUCUCAGAAGACUCCUGGGAGAAACGCUCGGAUAUUUAUUUUCUUUAGUAUGAGCUGAAUUUGGUUACUUCAGCUUUCUUUCCAACCUUUCGGGAAAGCUAUCUCAGCUUUACUUCUCUUUCCCCAGGGGAGAUGUAACCCACUUAUUACUACUGAAAUGGUUUCUUUCUGACUCUUUUCCUUUUCUGCACACAUCAAGACUGAGAAUUAUUAUUAUUAUAUUUUAGUGUCUCGAUCUGGAUUAGUAUCUGCAGCAAAUAUUUAACUCAAUCCGUAUAGUUGGGCAACUGGAUUUAUUGGUUCAAAGUGUAUGUGGAAUUUGUUUUGUUUUCUUUUGCUUUUGGUGGGAGGCACAGAGGGAAGGAAGGCCUAAGUGAGGCUGGACUUAUUGGAUCAUAGUCCAAGCUUCAAACCACCAUGAAUAUGUAGCUUGAACUGAUGUUUCCCAGGGAAACAAGCAAAAUGCCCAUAUGGGGCAAUUUUCCCUUCUUCCAUGCAGCCUUCCCAAAGUACCCUGAGGUGCACAGAAGAUAGUCCCUAAUCUUGCCUACAUUGGAAAAUGAAGCCCUUCCUACUCAUAUCUUCUAUCAACUAUGAUGUCAUCUGGGAUCUUGAAAUGCCCUUGCCCCAGUUAUAAAUAAACAUUACUAUUUAUUUCUGGUUUAGGAUUACCCUUUCCAGGCCAUGGUUUAUAGAUCUUUUACUUAUCUUGAGGGAUGGGGAAGUAGCCACAAAAUGCCCUUAAUUGUAAGCUCCCAAAGAAGGGAAUCCUCUAUUUGUCACCAUUUGUUUUGCAUUGUGUGCAAAUGAGUGAUUUGGUGGUCAUAGUGGUGGUGGUAAUGAUUUAAGAGGGAAAAAGUGAAUUCCUUUGUGAAUUCCUUUGCAAAAAAAUCAUUUUGGUGCCUGAAUUUUCUAAUUUGGAGUUUGCCUUUGUAUUCACUUACACUGAGUUGAAAUCUGCUUUUUAAUAGUUUGAAUCCAGCCUUUAUCAUUUACAAACCCUUAGUGGUAUUCACUUGACGGAAAUACCAAACCGUACCAUCCGAUCCAAUCACCAAAGGGAUCAUCCAGUUUCUCCCUUUAGACUCAACCCAAACUAAACAAAAUCCAUCUGUGAACUUAUUUAUAGACCGUACAGGACAAAUGGUAGCAACUACAGAAAAUCCUCUUCUCUGGGAACUUGCAGUGUGAGAGCAGUUCAUGGACACUUCCCCAAGGCCCAGACACAGGCAGUGCAGCAAGGAGAGAAGUAGGAGCAAAUGGACAGGGCUCUGGAUGUUAAUGAGGAGGGGAGGGGGCAAGGAGCACAGCCUGCAGAGCUCAGAUAUCUGUAGGUGUGGUUAGUUAGAGACGCUUCCUGAAGGAGGAGCGUGUUGACCAGAGUUUGGAAAAAAGGUGUUCUAGGCAGAAGGACAGUCUGUGUGAAUAGCAAGAUGUUCAUGUGUAGGGAAAGAUUUGUCCUGUUCAAGCAGAGAGCCACAGAAAGGCUUCAUAGUAGGAGUAAGCGUUAGAAGAAUAAUGAAAAGAAAGCCUUGGAAAUACAAUCUUAGGAGUGUGGAUUUAACAGAGAGCAGGAAACUGCAGGUCUGGUUGGGAGUGUGUGUGUGUGUGUGUGUGUUGCUUUUCAAGCCUUGAAGAAAGUGUCAUUUUCCAGGAGGAGGGUAGAGGGCACUCACACUUCAGUUAUCUGCUGCAAUGCAGCACUCCGGACGAAUGUGAUUCAGGGCUGCAGCAUACUUUAGAGAACGGCAGCACUCUCUGAUGGUUGCUGGGGUGAAUCCGAGAUGAUCGCAUUGUGCAGAGUUACUGAUUUUAGAGGCCAGGAGGGUGGGUCAUGGAGUAUAGUGGGAAGCUGGCUCGGGUGCACAGUAUUUGCAAACUGUGGGAACCUACUAGAUAGUGUUCUGGUGGAAACAAGGUGCCACAUGUCUGAGUUACUUCAUGCCAAUUGGAUUGAAUUCAGGGCUAGCAUAGUGAGCCCCAAAUAUCUGAAACCAGUGAUUUCACAUGGGAUUCCUUAGGUUUAAUCCAAAUUUUUAUGUAACGUCCCUGAAUAAAACCAGGAUCCUUAGGGGCUGUUUUGUCAAUCUUGUUGUCUUUGGAUGUAUUUGGGGCUUUCUUCCUUAAAACUGAAAUGGAAAGGUGAUUCUUUAUCUUUGUCAAUCUUUCUAUACUGAUAGCAUGUUCAGAAUAUCUAUUAUUCCUUGAGUCCAUAUUCCUUAAUAAUCUUUUUAAAAAUAAGUAAUGAGGAGAUUAGAAAAUAGAAAGCCUAAGAGGUCAGUGUUCAUGCCUGAUGUCCAUUGGUCUUUGUGCUUAUUUCCAUGAAUGAUUAAUAAAUACUAAGAAUGUUCUAGUUGUGAGCUAAGAGCGGACCCAGACACGGGUCACAGCGAACACUAAUAAUCAUUUUUGGUAUUCUGUUAAGUCAGGUCUCUGGUUGUCAAGAACAACCAAACCAGAAUGACUGACCUCCCAUAGCUCAAGUCCUUCUCCCAGCACCAACAUGAAUUUUUAGCUUUGGAAUGGUGUCGAUCAUGUUUUAGAGUGACAGGCAAGCCGACACUUUUCUGGUACUGGGUUCUUCCAAGUUAAAGAUAAGGAGAUUGCCAUUUUCUGGUAAACAUAUCCCCUAGUCUGCUCCUGAUUGUCAGUGAAGUCUGGGGAGCAAAUGGCCAAGUGAAUUAGAAAGCUUAAAAGAUGUUUUGUUAAACCAACCUCAUUAAACUGGCACCGUCUGCCUUCCUACUCGCCUUUGUUCCAGUUGGGGCUUUCUUCGUGACAGAUGUUUCCUAACCGUGUGUGCCGGUAGCAUCUGGAAGCCUUGGGUGACUGCUGAGGUUUGGGAAGGCCAAAUCUGGAGGUAUUUAGGUUGUCAGGGAAAUUACAACCAUUUUCCUGCCAUUGGGCUACCCAUUUAAAAAAAAUACCUUUUGCCCCAUCUUCCUUUGGCUAACGAAAAUCAAGGUUUCAUUUCUUUCUCUAGCACUUCCUAACCUGCACUGAGGAUGGUUUUUUCUUUUCAAGAAUAAGGUAGUGAGUAGACAAGAUUUGGAAUAUGAUGAAAGAAUAGUGUGAUGAAAGAAGUCUCAGAAGGGUUAUUUAUAUUUGACACAUUGAGAUCUGUUAUCUUAUAUUUCUAAAAACCAAACAAAAGGACAUGGGUUAAAAUUGUGGGAGUAGGAAUUAUAAUUAGAUGUAAAAUUGUGUCUGGGAACUAUUGGAAUAGCUACAGGGAUGCUUUGGGCUCUCCUUUCUUGGCAUCUAGAAAGAUUGGAGACUUUGGCACUGGAUUGGAUUAGAAUUUUAGUAGGAAAUGGUUUAGAUGGAGCUUUCAGAUUUAAUAGUCUCUCUACUUCCAGCCCUGGCCUAUCAGAAUCUAUUUGGGAGGAAAGAGGAGACAUUGGUAGGGGGUGACCUGGGCACAAGGGUAAGAACUGGCUCAAAUCCUCUUAAUAGCUAUGCCUUAGACUCCUCAGUCUUUGUGGAGACAGUGUGCUACAGUAGAAAGAACAUGGGCUUUGAAGUCACAAAGAACCAAGUUCAAAUUUCAACUCUUUUUUUUUUUACUGGCUAUAUGAUCUUGAAAAAGUAACUUAACCUCUCUUAAUCUGCAAAAUGGAAUAAUAAUAGUUAUCUUAUUGGGUAUACAGGGGUUAAAUGAAAUAAUGUAUGUAUAUUGCUUGCAGCUCAACAAAUUCUAGUUCCCUUCUGCCACUCUCUCUUGUGUAUCCCUAAUUCUCACACAUAUACGUGGUACCCCUAUUUGACAGAUAUUUUUCUCUGCAUGUCUUCCUCAAUGCUUCUUAGUGUUCAAGCCUAGGGCCCUGAUUUAUUAAUUUGUGUUAGUCCCACAAAAUGGCAAUAACAGUAUGUACUUUUUAUAACCAUACUAACAUGAGCCAAGGUUGUGGUUUCUUUCCAGGCAUUUUUACUUGCUAACAAUUUUGGUUGUAAAUCAAAGACAAAGCAGUUCUAUCUUUCCAUCCACCCUUCUGAUCUAAAGCUCCCGAUUCUGGGUGGGAUUUCAUUCCAAUCAACAGGCGAUGCCAAGCUUGUUUAUAAAGAUCAUUCAGGGAAGAAAAAAAUCCAAAAAUCCGUAACUUUUACUGGGACAUUCUUGUUUUCCUCCCAAUCUUUUAGUUUGAAAAAUAUUAGACCUACAGAAAAGUUGCAAGAAUAGUGUAAUUAACACUCAUUUAUCUUUCACCAGGAUUGACCAAUUGCCAAUAUAUAUAUUUUUAAAUUUCAGAUUAUUAUGGUAGUACAAACAUUUU